This is a long non-coding RNA of Seriola dumerili (greater amberjack), 271 nucleotides long. RefSeq lists it as uncharacterized. The transcript is spliced from 3 exons. The record is from RefSeq and is a predicted model, not a curated record. Lineage: Eukaryota; Metazoa; Chordata; Actinopteri; Carangiformes; Carangidae.
GAAUUAAGAUGUACUCUGUGAAUAUGACUACACAUUAUUGGAAAAGAAGUUGAAGUUCUUUCAUCCAUGCAGAGUGGCAUUUGCCUGCGUGGAGUCUGGAAAAAUAAGGUGAAGGAAAUAAAGUAGCUGACUUAAUAGCACAUGACUCAAGACAGAUGUGACUCCAGAGGACGGCAACUUACAUAUAAGGAGGCAGGGCAGCAUUGUGGUGUCCACUGUUUGAACUCCUCCAGCCAUCUGGCACCUGGGUGACCCUCGCAGCUGGAGGCGG